CAAAAAUGGCCAAGGCCAUCAACGACGACAUAAGUUCGACCUCGUUCGAAUAACGACGGGAUCCUAAUUUGACAAUAGUUCAAAGCAACAUCCCAAUGGCCAAGGCCAUCGACGGUGACAUGAGUUCGGCCUCGUUUGAAAUACGACGGGAUUCUACUUCGACGACAGUUCAAAGCAACAUCCUAAUGGCCAAGGCCAUCGACGAAGACAUGAGUUUGACCUCGUUCCAACUACGACGGAAUUCCACUACAAAAACAGUUCGAAGCAACAUCCCAACGGACAAGGCCAUCAACGACAACAUGAGUUCGACCUUGUUCGAACUACGAUGGGAUUCUACUUCGACGAUAGUUUGAAGCAACAUCCUAAUGGCCAAGGCCAUCGACGACGACAUGAUUCGACCUCGUUCGAACUAAGACGGGAUUCUACUUCGAUGAUUGUUCGAAGCAACAUCAUAAU
This 456-nucleotide long non-coding RNA is filed under the name Nicotiana benthamiana. RNAcentral's name for it is "long non-coding RNA (NBEN_LNC040710)". Lineage: Eukaryota; Viridiplantae; Streptophyta; Magnoliopsida; Solanales; Solanaceae. The record is from RNAcentral.